AGGUCAAAUAUUUUUAAUUCUUUCUCCUGGCCCUAAGAUAUGUUUCCAAAUCUGAUUAUCAUUUUAUGGUUCUUUUAAUGGACACAGCCUAGCUGAUAGUAUGAUGGACAGAACAUUCACUGAAUUUGGAGACCACAGUUGAAAUCUGGGUUCUGAUGCUUGCUUCCUGUGUGACCUUUGAAACUGACACUUAAAGAGACCGAGUAACUUGCUCAACAUCACAGGGAUUCGAACCCAAGUCCUUUGACUCUGAAGCCAGUGGAGGAAA
RNAcentral lists this long non-coding RNA (268 nucleotides) under Monodelphis domestica (gray short-tailed opossum). RNAcentral's name for it is "lncRNA (ENSMODG00000042325.1)". Lineage: Eukaryota; Metazoa; Chordata; Mammalia; Didelphimorphia; Didelphidae. The record is from RNAcentral.